This 426-nucleotide long non-coding RNA is filed under the name Dendronephthya gigantea. RNAcentral describes it as "uncharacterized LOC114543213, transcript variant X3". The record is from RNAcentral. Lineage: Eukaryota; Metazoa; Cnidaria; Anthozoa; Malacalcyonacea; Nephtheidae.
CGUGUGACUGCUGGAGCCUGGGAGUUAUACUAUAUGUUUGGCAAAUAACCCAUUGGAGAAACAAGUCAAAGAAGGGUCGUAUAAAUUUCCGAACAACCUCUGGAAGAAUGUUAGCAGUGAAGCUAAGGAUCUUAUAACAAAACUGCUUACUGUUGGUCACAGAAAAUGCAUCACGGUUUCAGAAGCUCUGGAACAUCCUUGGAUGAAGGAUAAAGAAAUGAUAGAAAAAGCAGAAAAAAUGAUAAAACCGACCGUGGAUGGAAGAUCAAUGUCUCCGCCCUUAUAAAAGGUAUGUUGAAAACUACGAUACUUGUCCCGUUCUUCCGUCCAAUGACCCUUAUUUUCAACUCGCAAUUGCAAUGAAACAUUACAUGUUUGCAAGUUACAUCGAAAUUUAACCAGCUUUCCGAAACAAUCUCAAGGCGC